GUGGGGAAUUUUGGACAAUGGGCGCAAGCCUGAUCCAGCAAUGCCGCGUGCAGGAAGAAGGCCUUCGGGUUGUAAACUGCUUUUGUACGGAACGAAACGGUCCUGGCUAAUAUCCGGGGCUAAUGACGGUACCGUAAGAAUAAGCACCGGCUAACUACGUGCCAGCAGCCGCGGUAAUACGUAGGGUGCGAGCGUUAAUCGGAAUUACUGGGCGUAAAGCGUGCGCAGGCGGUGCUGUAAGACAGGCGUGAAAUCCCCGGGCUCAACCUGGGAACUGCCAUUGUGACUGCAAGGCUAGAGUGCGGCAGAGGGGGAUGGAAUUCCGCGUGUAGCAGUGAAAUGCGUAGAUAUGCGGAGGAACACCGAUGGCGAAGGCAAUCCCCUGGGCCUGCACUGACGCUCAUGCACGAAAGCGUGGGGAGCAAACAGGAUUAGAUACCCGGGUAGUCC
RNAcentral lists this ribosomal RNA (450 nucleotides) under uncultured bacterium. Its description in RNAcentral is "partial 16S ribosomal RNA". It matches the Rfam family "Bacterial small subunit ribosomal RNA", at positions 354 to 796 of the family's 1533-position model. The record is from RNAcentral.